AGUCUGGCUGAGGCUGCAGUGCAGCCCGAAUGGGGCGUCUGGCCCCACGCCAUUAAUAUCACUUCGAAUUAGAUCAGUGGGGACUGUAAUCAGGCAGUACUGACUUAUUAUUAUUUUUUUUCCAGAGCAGCAUUUUCAUAUACCAUAGACAAAGCUGUAUUUCACUUAAAGCGGGUUUGAAAACCAGUCGGUGGUGGAAACUUUGGUUGAAACAGGACAAGAACAAGAUUUUAACUAGAUCUCCAAUCCUCUGCAGUGCCAACAGACGCUCCUGCAGACCGACAAUCAUGCUUCCUGCCGCAGAACUGAACUGACAGGAGUGAUGGAGGAUCCCCAGAGAUGCCUUGGAAUGUCACCACCUCUCGUUUCUCCUUUGUGUCUCCUCUCUGUCUGAGGGUUAACAUCUGGGCCCCUGUACAGGCCAGGGUGAUGGGGAGCCACAUCGAAAAUUCAACAUUCCUUCCGCCUGAUGUUGGCUAGAAGUGGUUUAUUAACAUGGAGUCUCUUUUAACGGAGUCCGAAAAGCCUCCUUGUAUAGUUUUGUUUCCUAAAUUUGUGUAUAUUCUCAUUUUUAUGGUAUGUGGUAAAGAUGAAAUGUGACUGUGGGGCUGUUUUCUUCCCCAUCUGUGUGAUUUUUUUUUUUUUUUUUUUUAUAUUUUUUAAUUUUAUUUUUUUAAGACUAUGAUAGAAAUGCUUGGGACUCUAAGCCUUGAUAAGUUCAUUUUCUUGGGAGGACAAAAAGUAGCGGCAGAUGCCACAAAGCACCUCGUGACAGAGCUGACAGAUUGGAGCUGUACAGACCUGCAUGUCUGCAUCGUUUACAACCUCCACAGGGCCGAGAGAACCUGCAGCAGCAUGUCAUCCACUUGUCCACUACCUACAGAAGCAGGAUCCUGUUUUUUUUUUUUGCCCCCUCCGCCCCUCCCCUUCCCCCAAUGUUCGUCCUGGUUUUUUUUUUCUUUUUCUUUUUUUUCCCUUUACAGACUCGCCAAGACUUCAGUAUUGAAUCUGCUCCAAUAUUAUCUCUUGCAGUCACACUGCUAGGGGAAAAUACUUCAGUGGGGGAGAAAUAAAUUUAUUUAUAUACCCGAAAGCCUAGUACACACUUUUCCAGCACCCACCCUGACACUAAACUCUGCCAGAAUUCAUCAGAUAGUUAGUUGGUUGGUUGGUUAGUCCCUCGGUUUCUUCAUUUUCAGAUCCACCCUUAACCUACAAGCAACUGAUCAUGUCUUCACACACUAAACUACUGAAACCUAUAUUCUCACACUUGACAGUAUUUUACUGAGGCUAAGAGUCCCCAAUUCCCACGCAGUUACUAGAUGCUUUGUAGUACACAGUAUUUUUUAUUUUUAGUUUUUAACCUUGUUGAUUGACUAAAGGGUUUUUUUUGGCUUCUUUUUAUUUUCUUUUGCUUUGCCAGUAUAUUAAAGUGUAAUCAUGUGUGUUGUGAUAUAGAAGUAGCUGUAGAAACCGCAUUGUUUCCUUGUGGUAAGUGAUUGAGAUGCUGCCACGGAUUUGAGACACUGAUGAAUGGUGCUAUUUUGGACUUUAAUCUGCUCCUUGGUAAGGUAGCCGAGAUGGUUUUUAUUUCAUAUCUCUUCACGUCUGGAGAAGGUGUUUGGUUCUUUGUCGUAUGGUUGUUGUAACUUGGUCUGGAUCGACUUUUCCCCUCCCUCCCUCCUUCCCACUCUUGUUUCGGUGUGGCUUUCUCUUUGGAUUUAUAUAUAUACAUUUAAAAAAAAAAAAAAGAUGCACACUAACAGACCAUGAAGAACAUUUUUUUUUUCUCUACGGAGAUGAUCUCUUUCAACAUGGUGAUUGUUUAAAAAAAAAAAACAGCGGGAGCAAUCACAAAACUGCAAUUAUUAAUGUUUUCCCUUUAAGGUCGAGCUGAUAUGAUGGAUUAGUUGCACUUACUGGCACUAGAAAAUUUGGCAGCGGCAAAAAUAACAUGGCAUCUAUGAGUGUGGUUUUUUUGGGGUUUUUUUUGUUUUCUCCUUGAUAGUACCAUCAAGGAUCUGUCUCUAGGAAUGUAUUUAGCAUUUAAAGAAUGCAAACUGAUGGAACGUUUAGGCAGAGUUGGUUUCUUUUGAAGUGUCUUUUGCUUAAUAUUGUAAAUACUUGUUCACCCAGGGAAAGGCACCAUUCAGAGCAUUUCCUGUAGGACAACUCCAAAAUGACUUUUCUGUGAAAUAGUCCACGAACAGGUUGGUUUAAGGUCACCAAUCAGCUGCAUUGUCUUCACCAGCCAGUAAUUAGAAGAAUCUUCUAGCAGCCAAGACCCUCAUAUCUCAUAGCACACGAUCUGAUCAUGCUCUUUCCUAAGCUGAAAAUGUAGCACUGAUGAAUUAGUGUUCAUCAACUUUUAUAAAAAAAAAAAAAUUUAAAAGUGGUUUUGUGAGUAACUUGUAGGUCUUGAGAAUAGAAGCAAAAAAGCUUUAUAUUUAUUUUGGGUAUUUUAGUAGCAAAGUGUCGUCCUUCGGUAUUUGCAGUUUUGUCUUUGCUUCCAGUUUGACAUAUAUACUUUGAACAAUGCCAAUUCAACGACCAACUUGAAAGCCCACUUUAGUUUCUUUUGUCUUCUUUUUUUUUUUUUUCCCCCCCAGUAUAGUGGGAACCUUCCCAGCUUGCUCUAGAGCUUCCCUAGUGCAUCAGCUGCAUGCUUUCCGCUUUGAUUUGUUUUCAUCUUCAUCUUGACUCUCUGCGUUGUGUUUUUUUUUUUUUUCCCUCAUAGGCUAGGUAUUCUAGCUCCUGUAAAUAGCAUAGAUUUAGGUAGGGUCUGCUGUACGAUGUUGAAAUACUAUAAUAAUUAUUGGUGUAAAAAGAGUCAGCUUGUGAUCAAUAAUGAAGCACUCUGUAUUGUAUAAGUAAUUUUGACAAUUUAAGCUGUAGUUCAAUAAACAUGCAAGUUCUCAA
This is a long non-coding RNA of Neoarius graeffei (lesser salmon catfish), 2919 nucleotides long. RefSeq lists it as uncharacterized. The transcript has 4 exons. The record is from RefSeq and is a predicted model, not a curated record. Lineage: Eukaryota; Metazoa; Chordata; Actinopteri; Siluriformes; Ariidae.